UUUAGAGGUCUCAGAUGCUUAUGUAAAGAAGGCAUUGGGAAAAAGAUGGAGAGACAAUAAAAGUACUUUGAAGAAAAAUUAUUAUAAGACAAAAACAACCCUCGAUGAGAAAUUGCAAAAUGUCCCGCCGGGUAUGUUGAGGUACCAAUGGGAAGAUGCGGUUAGAUUUUGGCAUUCGAAGAAAGGCGAGGAUCGUGAACAAGUUGGAAAAAGCAGCAGGCAGAAACAAAAAUUCACCCACACAGCCGGGUCGAGAAGUUUUGCAUGUGUAGCUGAGGCGGAGGAACUGUCGUCCGGUCAAAAAGUUGGACGCCUUUAACUUUUUGAAAUUACACAUAGGAAGAAAGAUAGAUCUCCCAUGACUCCUGAAGCUGGUGAAAUAAUG
This is a long non-coding RNA of Gossypium raimondii (Peruvian cotton), 385 nucleotides long. RefSeq lists it as uncharacterized. The record is from RefSeq and is a predicted model, not a curated record. The transcript has 3 exons. NCBI's taxonomy places the organism in Eukaryota, Viridiplantae, Streptophyta, Magnoliopsida, Malvales, Malvaceae.